This 501-nucleotide ribosomal RNA is filed under the name uncultured bacterium. RNAcentral's name for it is "bacterial SSU rRNA". It matches the Rfam family "Bacterial small subunit ribosomal RNA", at positions 28 to 508 of the family's 1533-position model. The record is from RNAcentral.
GACGAACGCUGGCGGCGUGCCUAAUACAUGCAAGUCGAGCGGACGUUUUAGGGAGCUUGCUCCUUGAAACGUUAGCGGCGGACGGGUGAGUAACACGUGGGCAACCUGCCCUGCAGAUGGGGAUAACUCCGGGAAACCGGGGCUAAUACCGAAUAAUCAGUUCUUCCGCAUGGAAGAACUCUGAAAGACGGUUUCGGCUGUCACUGCAGGAUGGGCCCGCGGCGCAUUAGCUAGUUGGUGGGAUAACGGCCUACCAAGGCGACGAUGCGUAGCCGACCUGAGAGGGUGAUCGGCCACACUGGGACUGAGACACGGCCCAGACUCCUACGGGAGGCAGCAGUAGGGAAUCUUCCACAAUGGACGAAAGUCUGAUGGAGCAACGCCGCGUGAGCGAAGAAGGUUUUCGGAUCGUAAAGCUCUGUUGCGAGGGAAGAAUAAGUACGGGAGUAACUGCCCGUACCUUGACGGUACCUCGUCAGAAAGCCACGGCUAACUACGUGC